GACGAACGCUGGCGGCGUGCUUAACACAUGCAAGUCGAACGAAGCUUGAUUACGGAUUCUUCGGAUGAAGUAUGAUAUGACUGAGUGGCGGACGGGUGAGUAACGCGUGAGUAACCUGCCCUUCAGAGGGGGAUAGCGUUUGGAAACGAACGGUAAUACCGCAUAAUGUAUUUUGACCGCAUGAUCGAAAUACCAAAGAUUUAUCGCUGAAGGAUGGACUCGCGUCUGAUUAGGUAGUUGGUGGGGUAACGGCCUACCAAGCCGACGAUCAGUAGCCGGACUGAGAGGUUGAUCGGCCACAUUGGGACUGAGACACGGCCCAGACUCCUACGGGAGGCAGCAGUGGGGAAUAUUGCACAAUGGGCGCAAGCCUGAUGCAGCAACGCCGCGUGAAGGAAGACGGUUUUCGGAUUGUAAACUUCUGUUCUUAGUGAAGAAUAAUGACGGUAGCUAAGGAGCAAGCCACGGCUAACUACGUGCCAGCAGCCGCGGUAAUACGUAGGUGGCAAGCGUUGUCCGGAAUUACUGGGUGUAAAGGGAGCGCAGGCGGGUGAUCAAGUCAGCUGUGAAAACUACGGGCUUAACCCGUAGACUGCAGCUGAAACUGUUCAUCUUGAGUGAAGUAGAGGUUGGCGGAAUUCCGAGUGUAGCGGUGAAAUGCGUAGAUAUUCGGAGGAACACCGGUGGCGAAGGCGGCCAACUGGGCUUUAACUGACGCUGAGGCUCGAAAGUGUGUGGAGCAAACAGGAUUAGAUACCCUGGUAGUCCACACUGUAAACG
RNAcentral lists this ribosomal RNA (780 nucleotides) under uncultured bacterium. RNAcentral's name for it is "bacterial SSU rRNA". It matches the Rfam family "Bacterial small subunit ribosomal RNA", at positions 28 to 808 of the family's 1533-position model. The record is from RNAcentral.